UGACCUCUCCGGUUGCCUAGUGGUUAGAGUGUACGCCUCGGAUGCGGGAGGUCGUGGGUUUGAUCCCCAGCAGAGUCAA
Molecule: non-coding RNA, 79 nt
Organism: Potamilus streckersoni
Lineage: Eukaryota; Metazoa; Mollusca; Bivalvia; Unionida; Unionidae
Source: the annotation of a GenBank genome assembly